This 604-nucleotide ribosomal RNA is filed under the name uncultured fungus. Its description in RNAcentral is "SSU rRNA". It matches the Rfam family "Eukaryotic small subunit ribosomal RNA", at positions 737 to 1343 of the family's 1831-position model. Lineage: Eukaryota; Fungi. The record is from RNAcentral.
GGGGAACCAGGACUUUUACUUUGAAAAAAUUAGAGUGCUCCAGGCAGGCCUAUGCUCGAAUACAUUAGCAUGGAAUAAUAGAAUAGGACGUGUGGUUCUAUUUUGUUGGUUUCUAGGACCGCCGUAAUGAUUAAUAGGGACAGUCGGGGGCAUCAGUAUUCAAUUGUCAGAGGUGAAAUUCUUGGAUCUAUUGAAGACUAACUACUGCGAAAGCAUUUGCCAAGGAUGUUUUCAUUGAUAAGGAACGAAAGUUAGGGGAUCGAAGACGAUCAGAUACCGUCGUAGUCUUAACUAUAAACUAUGCCGACUAGGGAUCGGACGAUGUUAUCUUUUGACGCGUUCGGCACCUUUCGAGAAAUCAAAGUGCUUGGGCUCCAGGGGGAGUAUGGUCGCAAGGCUGAAACUUAAAGAAAUUGACGGAAGGGCACCACCAGGGGUGGAACCUGCGGCUUAAUUUGACACAACACGGGGAAACUCACCAGGUCCAGACACAGUGAGGAUUGACAGAUUGAGAGCUCUUUCUUGAUUCUGUGGGUGGUGGUGCAUGGCCGUUCUUAGUUGGUGGAGUGAUUUGUCUGCUUAAUUGCGAUAACGAACGAGACCU